This is a long non-coding RNA of Malurus melanocephalus (red-backed fairy wren), 638 nucleotides long. RefSeq lists it as uncharacterized. Lineage: Eukaryota; Metazoa; Chordata; Aves; Passeriformes; Maluridae. The record is from RefSeq and is a predicted model, not a curated record. The transcript has 3 exons.
CCCAAACCUAACGAUUAAAGGUCAAACCAAACCGGCCUCUAACUGCACAACUGUCUCCUGGAGGAUAUUUGCUUCCCAACGUGGUCAGCUUUUAAAAGCAGMACUGACCACUGGUUUCAGACCCUUUUCCAGACCUCCUCUGCCAGGGGAGCAGAACGCUCCUGUCUGGAGAUCCAGGCAGCUCUGCUGCAUUCCACACGCCAGGCAUUGCAGCAAGGCAAGGUCACAGCAUGGCAGGGCAGUGAGAAAACUCCCAGAAAACUGCAUGGGCUCAUCUGCUCCUUCCACCACAGGAAGAAAAAGAUACCCUGUUUCCUGGAAGCUAAUAAAACAUCUCAAAUUUUACUGGAACACUGAAGAAAUGUCAUGUAAAACCAGUUGAAAACCCUGACCAGUCAGCUGAGCACAACUUGGCUGUGGCUGGAUCCACUGUAAUACCAGGGAGGCUCACAGACUGCUCUGAGGAACACAAAGAAGAUGUAUCAAGAGAAAUUAAGUCACGUGAACUUCUGAACCUGUAAAUAUGCUCUGGUAUGGUGGGAACUCAAUGGCUAAAAUGUAAGUUCAAAUUAAAACAUUAGCAUUUACUUCAAAUACUGAUCAAAUAAAUUAAUAAUAAAGGAAAAGAGAGGGUCAGA